This 442-nucleotide ribosomal RNA is filed under the name Lathyrus pratensis (meadow pea). RNAcentral's name for it is "eukaryotic LSU rRNA". The stretch from base 302 to 442 matches the Rfam family "Eukaryotic large subunit ribosomal RNA", at positions 1 to 141 of the family's 3401-position model. The record is from RNAcentral. Lineage: Eukaryota; Viridiplantae; Streptophyta; Magnoliopsida; Fabales; Fabaceae.
UGCAGAAUCCCGUGAACCAUCGAGUCUUUGAACGCAAGUUGCGCCCGAUGCCAUUAGGUUGAGGGCACGUCUGCGUGGGUGUCACAUAUCGAAGCCUCCUACCAAUUUCCUUUUGACAGGUAUUGUGCAGGGUGGAUGUUGGCCUCCCGUGAGCUCUUUUGUCUCAUGGUUGGUUGAAAAUUGAGACCUUGGUAGGGUGUGCCAUGAUAAAUGGUGGUUGUGUGACCCACGAGACCAAUCAUGUGCUGCUCUAUUGAAUUUGGCCUCUUUUACCCGUAUGCGUUUCUAAACGCUCGUGAUGAGACCCCAUGUCAGGCGGGGCUACCCGCUGAAUUUAAGCAUAUCAAUAAGCGGAGGAAAAGAAACUAACAAGGAUUCCCUUAGUAACGGCGAGCGAACCGGGAUAAGCCCACCAUGAGAAUCGGUCGCCCUCGGCGUUCGA